This is a small nuclear RNA of Pelodiscus sinensis (Chinese soft-shelled turtle), 154 nucleotides long. Its record names the gene U1. It matches the Rfam family "U1 spliceosomal RNA". From Rfam's summary of the family: U1 is a small nuclear RNA (snRNA) component of the spliceosome (involved in pre-mRNA splicing). Its 5' end forms complementary base pairs with the 5' splice junction, thus defining the 5' donor site of an intron. NCBI's taxonomy places the organism in Eukaryota, Metazoa, Chordata, Testudines, Trionychidae. The record is from Ensembl.
CUGCAGAUCUGGCAGGGGAGAUACUGUGAUCACAAAGGUGGUUUUCCCAGAGUGAGGCUCAUCCAUUGCACGGCAGAUGUGCUGACCUGUAAUUUUCCCCAAAUGAAGGAAACUCAACUGCAUAAUUUGUGGUGGCUCCUGUGCCAUUCAGGUU